Molecule: ribosomal RNA, 402 nt
Filed under: uncultured bacterium
Lineage: Bacteria
Description: bacterial SSU rRNA
Rfam family: Bacterial small subunit ribosomal RNA
Source: RNAcentral
UGGGGAAUAUUGGACAAUGGGCGCAAGCCUGAUCCAGCAAUGCCGCGUGAGUGAUGAAGGCCUUAGGGUUGUAAAGCUCUUUCGCACGCGACGAUGAUGACGGUAGCGUGAGAAGAAGCCCCGGCUAACUUCGUGCCAGCAGCCGCGGUAAUACGAAGGGGGCUAGCGUUGUUCGGAAUUACUGGGCGUAAAGGGCGCGUAGGCGGCCUGUUUAGUCAGAAGUGAAAGCCCCGGGCUCAACCUGGGAAUAGCUUUUGAUACUGGCAGGCUUGAGUUCCGGAGAGGAUGGGGGAAUUCCCAGUGUAGAGGUGAAAUUCGUAGAUAUUGGGAAGAACACCGGUGGCGAAGGCGGCCAUCUGGACGGACACUGACGCUGAGGCGCGAAAGCGUGGGGAGCAAACA